GGGGCUAUAGCUCAGCUGGGAGAGCGCUUGACUGGCAGUCAAGAGGUCGGGAGUUCGAUCCUCCCUAGCUCCA
This 73-nucleotide transfer RNA is filed under the name Candidatus Zixiibacteriota bacterium. RNAcentral describes it as "tRNA-Ala". It matches the Rfam family "tRNA". Rfam says of the family: Transfer RNA (tRNA) molecules are approximately 80 nucleotides in length. Their secondary structure includes four short double-helical elements and three loops (D, anti-codon, and T loops). Further hydrogen bonds mediate the characteristic L-shaped molecular structure. tRNAs have two regions of fundamental functional importance: the anti-codon, which is responsible for specific mRNA codon recognition, and the 3' end, to which the tRNAs corresponding amino acid is attached (by aminoacyl-tRNA synthetases). tRNAs cope with the degeneracy of the genetic code in two manners: having more than one tRNA (with a specific anti-codon) for a particular amino acid; and 'wobble' base-pairing, i.e. permitting non-standard base-pairing at the 3rd anti-codon position. Lineage: Bacteria; Pseudomonadati; Candidatus Zixiibacteriota. The record is from RNAcentral. RNAcentral also lists the same sequence under 1 other name.